This 321-nucleotide ribosomal RNA is filed under the name uncultured eukaryote. RNAcentral describes it as "partial 18S ribosomal RNA". It matches the Rfam family "Eukaryotic small subunit ribosomal RNA", at positions 1470 to 1796 of the family's 1831-position model. The record is from RNAcentral.
CCCUUAGAUGUCCUGGGCCGCACGCGCGCUACACUGACAUGUUCAACAAGCCUCCUGGUUCGACAGGAUUUGGGAAAUCUUUGAACGCAUGUCGUGAUAGGGAUAGAUCAUUGCAAUUAUUGAUCUUGAACGAGGAAUUCCUAGUAAACGCGAGUCAUCAGCUCGCAUUGAUUACGUCCCUGCCCUUUGUACACACCGCCCGUCGCACCUACCGAUUGAAUGUUUCGGUGAAGAUUCCGGAUAGGACUUUUUUGAUUUAUUUCAAUUUUGUCUUAAAAGCUAUCUAAACCUCAACAUUUAGAGGAAGGUGAAGUCGUAACA